This 660-nucleotide long non-coding RNA is filed under the name Gallus gallus (chicken). Lineage: Eukaryota; Metazoa; Chordata; Aves; Galliformes; Phasianidae. The record is from RNAcentral.
CAGCGGUAUGUCAACACAGAUGGGAAGGAGCAUGCUGGUGUUCCAGUCCCACUGUAUUCAGAACUAAGUACUCUGGAUACUCCUGCUUCUGCUACCCAAUCUCCGCCACCCUCCUCUGCCUUUUCACUUUCUCAGCUGGAACUUCUCCAGGCAAUUUGAACCGGAAGAUCUGUUCUGUUUUGAUGUAUGCAACAACCCACUUUAAGUAAACAACAACUCCUGUCCAGCCUAUGCUUCCUCCUCCCAUGGUGUGCACUGAGCAUUCAGCUGCGGCUGCAGUAUGAGGAACGUGUCCUACACCCUGGAUGAGUCCCCCACUCUGGAUGUGUCCCCACAUUCUGGGUGAGGGCCUGAAGGUGCUGAACCAAGGCCACUGGCAAGUGUUAUCCAACAGAAGAUGAGAUUACCUUUCUGAGGAUAGAGGAGACCAACGGCAAUGUUGCCAUCCUUCCUCCCCUCCAGGUGGUGAAACUUUGAUCUUCUCUUAGUCGAGCCAGUGCCAGAGGCUCCGCUCCCCACUGUUGGCUCCUUGGAGAGAUGGGGCAAACUCAUGCUGAAGAAGUUACACAGGCACGAAUUGCAGAUAUAAUGCUGGCUGUGAAGUCAGCAAUGUCUCACAUUGCUCUAGAUGUCUCUUUCAGGUACUGGAGAGAAAAUUAC